Long non-coding RNA from Corvus hawaiiensis (hawaiian crow), 695 nucleotides. RefSeq lists it as uncharacterized. The record is from RefSeq and is a predicted model, not a curated record. The transcript is spliced from 2 exons. Lineage: Eukaryota; Metazoa; Chordata; Aves; Passeriformes; Corvidae.
GGGCUGGGCCGGGCUGGAGCCGCUCCCCGGGCGGUGGCGCUGGGCGGGCCUCGGUCACCCGCUCGGUCUCGCCGCGGUCCCGCCUCGGUUCCCGCUCGGUCCCCGCCUGUUCCAGCCUUGGUACCCCCCCGGUCCCCGGGCGCAGCGGGAGGAAUCUGCUCCGGGGCCCGGAGCGUGACGGGCACGGCGGCAGCGCUCGACAUCGCCGGACCCUCGCACCCAGCUCCGUGCUGCUCCUUCACAACGGGAAAAACCCAAGGUCGCUACAGUUCGUGCUCAGCGCACAGUACAAGUGGGAAUCAGCGAGGUGCAGGUCCUGGGCAGUAGUAUUUAGCUUCUCGUUCUUCUUAGGGACACACAAAUAGCAGAAAGCACAGAUGUGCUAAAAAACCCCAGGCAUAAUAUUUAUCAACCUCUGUCUUCAAAUGAAAUGCAAAACUGAUUUUCCAUCGUAUUCCCAGAACCGCAAGAAAAACACACCAGAACCAUAAUUGUUUCAAGUUCCAUACUUGCAGUAAAAUCGAGAUUUUAAUAUUCUUUCCAAGUUUAUCUGUAAUAUAUAGGUUUAUAUAUUCUAAAGAACUCAGGUCUGUUAAAUUACUGCAUACUCUUUCAUGCUUCUGAGCAAUAGCACAGAUUGUUUGUAUCUUCAACAGAACUGGUUUGUCUCAAUAAAAAGACUUUCAAGUGAAAAA